Molecule: long non-coding RNA, 1423 nt
Organism: Cucumis melo (muskmelon)
Lineage: Eukaryota; Viridiplantae; Streptophyta; Magnoliopsida; Cucurbitales; Cucurbitaceae
Exons: 3
Source: RefSeq, a predicted model, not a curated record
CCUGAAUCCGCCAUUGUCUAUCUUUAUCUUAUCCUGAAAAGCUGGUUGGUUGCGAUGCAUCAACACAAAAUAAAGUUCAUAACUAUUUAAAAGAAAGAAGCAAAAAUGUCUAUGUGCUCUCCAGUAUGCAUCAACUCAAACACAAGCGAUUUUCUUCCGAUAUCAACUCCUUGAUAGGUCUAUACAAUUUGGAGGUCGGAAAAUGAAGCGUGGAAAAAACCCCUGCCACUGAUACUCUCGGACCCUCCUUGUUUGCAAGAACUCUGUGCUUAACGCUUUUGAAUUUGUCAUUUGUUAUUAGCUGCAUAAGAUCUCCGAUGUUCACCACUAAAGCUCCAGCGACCGGGGGCACGUCGACCCAGUUGUCCUCAUACCGAAUCUGAAGGCCGCCGAUAUGGUCUUGCAAUAGCACAGUGAUAAAGUCACUGUCGGUGUGCUCUGAUGUGCCGAUGGCUAAAUUCGGCUGUGGGCAUGGUGGGUAAUAGUGGCAUACAAGUGCAAGUCCUUCAUUGCAGUCUAUAUCUUUCAAAUAAUUUGGAUUCAAACCUAGAGCUUCCGACAGCAAUUCAAACAGUAAAUUCCCAAUCUCCAUUACUCGUUUUGAAUAAUCCACAAGAACAUCCCUGCAAAAUACAGAGGUCUUGGGGAUUGUGGGGACUUGGGGCACUGAUAUAGCCAAAGCUAUCCCUCCAAUUGGUGAUGGCUGCAGAGUACAGAUCGAAAUUACUAUUGUAAAUCAAAGGUUUGGUGGGGUCGCGAGUGUAAUAUUGUUUCUUGGAUUCAGUUUCUUGUUCGUUAAAUCUUCGAACUGCAUCUUUCAUCUCCUCAAGAACGUUCGUCGGAAUCCCAUGGUUAAUCAGUUGGAAAAAACCCAAUUUCUCUGACGCUUCUCUGACUCUGUCGAUGGUGUCUUUGCGUUUGAGUGGAUUUUUGUUGAUUUGGUCGAGGUCUAUCACUGGUAUUUGGACUUGGGUUUCGGGGGAAAUAUUGUCGGAGUCAUAAUUCUCGGGUGGUGGGCGGUAAAAGAUACGAGGAAUUUCGGUGAUUCCGGCGUCGACUAAGCCUUUGACGCCGGCUUUGGUGUCAUCGAAAGCUCUGAGGUCAGUUGGUCUAUGGUAGUUUUCAUCGGCUUUGGACAGCGGAGUGAGGUUGAGUCGGUUGACUGUUGAGGCUGCGACCGCCAUUGUGGAGAGGAACAAUUGUCUUCCCCCUAAAGAAGGUGUUUUGAAAAAUUUGGUUAGGGGUUGUCGAUUGUAAUUGUAAACAUGUUAAAUAAAGAAGUGAGGCAUCUAUCGGUUUGUCCCCCAUUGACUUUAAAUAAAUAAUUGUGUUAGAUUUUAAAAGAAACACAUUACUUAUACAUGAGACUUUAUACUAUGAAACUAAUGAAAAAAUUAUUGUAAAUGAUAAAAUUGUUGUAUAA